RNAcentral lists this long non-coding RNA (1333 nucleotides) under Triticum aestivum (bread wheat). Its description in RNAcentral is "long non-coding RNA (TAES_LNC005008)". The record is from RNAcentral. Lineage: Eukaryota; Viridiplantae; Streptophyta; Magnoliopsida; Poales; Poaceae.
CCCUUCACAAGAAGAGUUUCAAGCCUCGCAACUUCUUCCUCCAGCUCUGCACAUACCCUCAGUUACGAACCUAAUCCCUCAGCUAUGAUUAUUUCAAGAUCAACUUUGUUUCAUCGUGGGAAAGCUAUCAUCCAUGCGCAUCAGUGAUUUCUCACGUGUUCUGCUUAAUGAAAACAUAUACAUACAUGUAUAUAAUAUCACCAUCAGUCCUCAUGUAAGGCACUUUUCAGUUUACCACUGUAAGGCAAUAUAAGCCAUUCACUUAACAUCCAUGCAAAUAAUUAAUCGUCCAAAAAUGGAAGUAGCUGACUAACAUCAUAUAGCUGGCCAAUAAAAAGUAGUUGAAAAACAGUACUAACACUACAGUGGUAGAUCAACACAUUUAGCUACCACAUGGUAUUGGUAAGAACGGGAUAACAUGAUAAAGAUAAGCUGCUAAAUGCGUAUAAGUUGAAUCAGAGAGCAACAUAAUAUAUGGGCAUUCGAAAAGAGAAGGUAAAUUCUACAAUAAGAUACAGUUGUGGCCUUAUGGGAACUGGUCAAAUUUUACAAUAUGGGCUUCUGAGGUAUCAUAUGAUAUGUAUCAAGCUAAAUUCAAGUGUCUAAUUAUAAAUUCAAAUAAAAAGAAAAUUUAUGUGGUGUCUAGCCUUAAGUUUCUUCCAUUAUUUAGUUAUAUUGUCACUGUAAUCAUGCAGUUCAAAGCGUAGAAUUAUUCAGUAAACUGAUGUACUGAAAUGAAGUGGCUGUCAUCUUUUUCUUUCCUAAUUCAGAAUCUUCAACCUUAGGUACAGAUCAUGCCAUCGGUCCACAUAGCAAAGAUAAUGAUGCAGCCUCUGCCAACAAUAGAGCUCUCUCCUCAUAUUCAUAAAGUAAUAAAAAAACAAUCAAAUGGUUGCCAUCUUUUUCUUACUAAUUCAGAAUCUCCAAACUUAGGUACAGAUCCUGCCAUCGUCCACAUAGCAAAGAUCAACCAUAUCACUUGUGGAAAUGAUGCAGUCACUGCCAACAAUAGAGUUCUCUCCUCAUAUCCCUAAAAAUAUGAAAAACAAACAAAUCAAAAUUUAUGUAUAAAAGCACACUCAAAUAAGAAAAUCUGAGGCAAUAUGCACCAUGGCUUGAUCAGAGUGCAAGACAACAAGAGGAGAAGAGAAAGGCUAGAACCUGCAAGCUCAAGAAGCAGAGCAUGUUGUUGAGGCAAGGAAUGAGAGAAAUCUGAAUCGCCGGGUCGUGUCGUCUCGGAAGGUGAUGACCACAGGCAUACCCUCUUCCACCCCCGCGCCUUCGCCCUCUUCCUCGGGCAGCUCUCGUGGCUUCCAGGUCCAGCUGUUCGAUC